UUCACCCAUAGCCAGACUGUUUUACACCUGCAUCGUCCAGUACCAUGGCCCCUAGUCCCGUGUGCUAUGUGCUGAAAUUGUAAAAUACGCCCCCAGAUAUUUUUGUUUUUUAAUUAGGCUCCAUGUCCAACAUGGGGCUCAAACGCAAGACCUUGACAAAAUCAAGAGUUGCAGGCUCUACCGACUGAACCAGACAGGCACCCCCACGCCAGAUUUUAAAGACUUAAAGUGGGCAAAAAUAUCACAAUAUUUUUUGUGUGUUACAGGUUGGAAUGCUAAUAUUUUCAAUGUAUUGGGUUGCAUUAAAUAUUUUGUAAAAUUAAUUUCACCUGUUUCUUCCUCUAUUUAGUGUGGCUACUGGAUAAUCUGAAAUCGUGCCUGUGGUUUGCAUUAUGUUUUAUUGGACAGCACUGACUUGAUCGUCCAGAGCCAAAUUCCAGGCUGUGGAGAUUAAGAAGAGGAGUUGACACAUUUGGUCAAAGCUGGGGGAAAUGCAGCAUAGGUUUGAGCUCAUGCUGCAAACGCCAUCAAGCUCACCCACUAUGUGCCAUGGACUGUGCUGGGUGCUAGGGACCCAGCAGUAAAGAAGACUUGGUUCCUGCCCAGAGCAGGGGAGACACACACCGAAAGGAAAAUAUAAGGCAACGGACAAAUGCUCAACCCAGGUCUCAAGCUUAUUACUCUAGGAGUUGAAAGAUGGAAGUGAGUCUUCCACUUCCUCAAUCUUAACGUGGCAUUUACAAAUGAGGGAGCCAACCAAGCACUGCAGCCCUGAUAUUUUUGGAAACAAUGGUAGAAAAUAAGUCACCUCAGCUUUUCUAAGUUGUGAAACAGAAGCUACAGAAAAGGGAACCCUCCUCGUAUUCCUGGGCCUGACACAGAUUCACAUUCUCUGAAUAAUCUCAAAAACUGCUUAUUGUAACAGACCACGCAAUUUAGAAAUUUAUUUUAAGACCUGUUACUCUCUGAUUCAUGUGCUUGAAGGCAAAUUAUAGGAGUCGUUGUAAUAAAAAUGCUUAGGCUGAUCAUAAUAAAAUAAACUAGUAUGAGUUGAGAA
Molecule: long non-coding RNA, 1057 nt
Organism: Herpailurus yagouaroundi (jaguarundi)
Lineage: Eukaryota; Metazoa; Chordata; Mammalia; Carnivora; Felidae
Exons: 3
Source: RefSeq, a predicted model, not a curated record